AUACGGAGGGUGCAAGCGUUAUCCGGAUUUAUUGGGUUUAAAGGGUUCGUAGGCGGAUCAAUAAGUCAGUGGUGAAAGCCCGUGGCUCAACCAUAGAACUGCCAUUGAUACUGUUGAUCUUGAGUACACUUGAAGUGGGCGGAAUGCGUCAUGUAGCGGUGAAAUGCAUAGAUAUGACGCAGAACACCGAUUGCGAAGGCAGCUCACUAAAUUGUAACUGACGCUGAGGAACGAAAGCGUGGGGAGCGAACAGGAUUAGAUACCCUAGUAGUCC
RNAcentral lists this ribosomal RNA (274 nucleotides) under uncultured bacterium. Its description in RNAcentral is "partial 16S ribosomal RNA". It matches the Rfam family "Bacterial small subunit ribosomal RNA", at positions 523 to 796 of the family's 1533-position model. The record is from RNAcentral.